GGGUAUAUAGCUCAGUGGUAGAGUACGUGCCUAGCACGCAUGAGGUCCUGGAUUCAGUCCCCAGUACCUCCA
This 72-nucleotide transfer RNA is filed under the name Camelus bactrianus (Bactrian camel). It matches the Rfam family "tRNA". Rfam says of the family: Transfer RNA (tRNA) molecules are approximately 80 nucleotides in length. The record is from Rfam by way of RNAcentral. Lineage: Eukaryota; Metazoa; Chordata; Mammalia; Artiodactyla; Camelidae. RNAcentral also lists the same sequence under 2 other names.